GGGCCUGUGGCUCAGCUUGGUAGAGCACCUCGAGAAAUAAUAAUCAUUCACGUCAAAUUAUCAAAAAGCUCUGGUGAAACUUUUAUCGAGCAAGGAAAUGAGGUUGUCGAGGGUUCAAAUCCCUUCAGGCCCG
RNAcentral lists this transfer RNA (133 nucleotides) under Candidatus Woesearchaeota archaeon. Its description in RNAcentral is "tRNA-OTHER". It matches the Rfam family "tRNA". Rfam says of the family: Transfer RNA (tRNA) molecules are approximately 80 nucleotides in length. Their secondary structure includes four short double-helical elements and three loops (D, anti-codon, and T loops). The record is from RNAcentral. Lineage: Archaea; Nanobdellati; Candidatus Woesearchaeota.